This 602-nucleotide ribosomal RNA is filed under the name Salmonella enterica. RNAcentral describes it as "partial 23S ribosomal RNA". Lineage: Bacteria; Pseudomonadati; Pseudomonadota; Gammaproteobacteria; Enterobacterales; Enterobacteriaceae. The record is from RNAcentral.
AGUGGAAGCGUCUGGAAAGGCGCGCGAUACAGGGUGACAGCCCCGUACACAAAAGCGCAUGUGCUGUGAGCUCGAUGAGUAGGGCGGGACACGUGGUAUCCUGUCUGAAUAUGGGGGGACCAUCCUCCAAGGCUAAAUACUCCUGACUGACCGAUAGUGAACCAGUACCGUGAGGGAAAGGCGAAAAGAACCCCGGCGAGGGGAGUGAAAAAGAACCUGAAACCGUGUACGUACAAGCAGUGGGAGCACCCUUUGGGGUGUGACUGCGUACCUUUUGUAUAAUGGGUCAGCGACUUAUAUUCUGUAGCAAGGUUAACCGUAUAGGGGAGCCGYAGGGAAACCGAGUCUUAACCGGGCGUUAAGUUGCAGGGUAUAGACCCGAAACCCGGUGAUCUAGCCAUGGGCAGGUUGAAGGUUGGGUAACACUAACUGGAGGACCGAACCGACUAAUGUUGAAAAAUUAGCGGAUGACCUGUGGCUGGGGGUGAAAGGCCAAUCAAACCGGGAGAUAGCUGGUUCUCCCCGAAAGCUAUUUAGGUAGCGCCUCGUGAAYUCAUCUCCGGGGGUAGAGCACUGUUUCGGCUAGGGGGCCAUCCCGGCUU